Molecule: ribosomal RNA, 457 nt
Filed under: Salmonella enterica
Lineage: Bacteria; Pseudomonadati; Pseudomonadota; Gammaproteobacteria; Enterobacterales; Enterobacteriaceae
Also listed under: 2 other names
Description: bacterial SSU rRNA
Rfam family: Bacterial small subunit ribosomal RNA
Source: RNAcentral
AAAUUGAAGAGUUUGAUCAUGGCUCAGAUUGAACGCUGGCGGCAGGCCUAACACAUGCAAGUCGAACGGUAGCACAGAGAGCUUGCUCUCGGGUGACGAGUGGCGGACGGGUGAGUAAUGUCUGGGAAACUGCCUGAUGGAGGGGGAUAACUACUGGAAACGGUGGCUAAUACCGCAUAACGUCGAAAGACCAAAGAGGGGGACCUUCGGGCCUCUUGCCAUCAGAUGUGCCCAGAUGGGAUUAGCUUGUUGGUGAGGUAACGGCUCACCAAGGCGACGAUCCCUAGCUGGUCUGAGAGGAUGACCAGCCACACUGGAACUGAGACACGGUCCAGACUCCUACGGGAGGCAGCAGUGGGGAAUAUUGCACAAUGGGCGCAAGCCUGAUGCAGCCAUGCCGCGUGUAUGAAGAAGGCCUUCGGGUUGUAAAGUACUUUCAGCGGGGAGGAAGGUGUUG